This 700-nucleotide long non-coding RNA is filed under the name Vitis vinifera (wine grape). Its description in RNAcentral is "long non-coding RNA (VVIN_LNC000315)". The record is from RNAcentral. Lineage: Eukaryota; Viridiplantae; Streptophyta; Magnoliopsida; Vitales; Vitaceae.
GCUUGGCCACACUCAUCCUCCUCCUAACCAUGGCCACUAGGGGCUCGGCGAUACCUGGGAUUUUGGUGGGGGCGGCGAUGGUCUGGCUUGUCGCAGCUGAAAUGAUCCGGUCUGCAACUUGUGGGUAUGUAAACCUGUCCAUGAACAUAACUUUGUUCUUAGCUAGGCAAAAACAAACAGACAGUUCUUGAUCCCGACUUUAAACUUGACAAGGAAUAUUUAGUAUAAUAUAAUGAUCUAAAUCUAUGGAAUACUUGUUAUAGCUGGGAGUUACACCCGAAAACUUGCCUGUGAAACCGACCGUUUUCAAGACGAGAACGAUGUAAAGAGCAAGAAGACCAUAGAGGAGGAGGUGUUGAUUCACUUUGAUGAUUGCCAUACUGCAUAUGAUGUGGAGAAAUUUUCGUGGGCUUUUAUGGAGCAGUUUUCCUUCAUUUCCAUGUCGCGUGGAGUAAAUUUCCAUGAAAUUAAUUAACUAUGCCCCUGAAGAUUGAGGUGACAGUUUCCUUGCCGACUUCUCGCUAGCACACACUACAGAGUACCCCCUGUUUGCCAAGCAGGAAAUUACAUUGAGAUGAAGACCUUUUUCCCGGAAAAAAGUUAUCAAUUCCACAGCACUGCUGUUGUCAUUACAAUAUAAAACCUUAUAUUUCAAAAGUAAUGAAAUGUAAUCUAUCUUCUUAGCAUAAUUAUCAAUAGC